AACGAACGCUGGCGGCAUGCCUAACACAUGCAAGUCGAACGAGAUCUUCGGGUCUAGUGGCGCACGGGUGCGUAACGCGUGGGAAUCAGCCCUUUGGUUCGGAAUAACAGUUGGAAACGACUGCUAAUACCGGAUGAUGACGAAAGUCCAAAGAUUUAUCGCCAGAGGAUGAGCCCGCGUAGGAUUAGCUAGUUGGUGUGGUAAAGGCGCACCAAGGCGACGAUCCUUAGCUGGUCUGAGAGGAUGAUCAGCCACACUGGGACUGAGACACGGCCCAGACUCCUACGGGAGGCAGCAGUGGGGAAUAUUGGACAAUGGGCGAAAGCCUGAUCCAGCAAUGCCGCGUGAGUGGUGAAGGCCUUAGGGUUGUAAAGCUCUUUUACCCGGGAUGAUAAUGACAGUACCGGGAGAAUAAGCUCCGGCUAACUCCGUGCCAGCCGCCGCAGUAA
This 449-nucleotide ribosomal RNA is filed under the name uncultured bacterium. RNAcentral's name for it is "partial 16S ribosomal RNA". It matches the Rfam family "Bacterial small subunit ribosomal RNA", at positions 29 to 523 of the family's 1533-position model. The record is from RNAcentral.